ACUGAUCUGCAUGUGGAAUUUUCCUACGAAAAAGGUAGAAUCUUCAGAAGAGAGAAAAUGAGUAAAGAUGUAAGGAAAUGAGGCAAAGCAAUGGAAAAACAGCCUUGAGCAAGGUGCUACAAACACCCGUGCACCUCCAUGCUUGGGUUGCUCAGUAUUCUGGGUAACCCCUUCAUAGGAUUUGUACAAUUUCACAUAAGUAA
RNAcentral lists this long non-coding RNA (203 nucleotides) under Homo sapiens (human). RNAcentral's name for it is "HSALNT0285915". The record is from RNAcentral. Lineage: Eukaryota; Metazoa; Chordata; Mammalia; Primates; Hominidae.